Molecule: long non-coding RNA, 1314 nt
Organism: Fukomys damarensis (Damara mole-rat)
Lineage: Eukaryota; Metazoa; Chordata; Mammalia; Rodentia; Bathyergidae
Exons: 3
Source: RefSeq, a predicted model, not a curated record
CUAUUCCCCGCGGGACGGGGUCCCCCCAGAGAGCCGCAAAAAUGUUUAAAACUGAGAAAUGAUUUGAUCAGAUCCAAAGUCAAGAAUCAUGCACUAACAAUGGAGCAUGACUGUUUCAAAUUGAUAUAUGCUGUCACCGUCCAUGGCUCCCAAAUUCUGCAAGUGCACUGGAUUUGGCAAGUGUCCCAACACUUUUCUGAGAGGCUUUGAGUCUCAAACUCAGGUAUGAAACCAGAGGAAGGGUGACCAGCCUCCUGGGGGCUGAACUUGUCCAGUCUGCUGCUGAGCCUCACUUCCAGGAACGGUGCCACGGGUUUCCUGGGGAGGUCACAGGGGACAUUUUUUUUUUUUUCCAAAAUGAGUUCUCUUUUGGAACUACAGUGUUGAAAAUUCCCAAAAGACCUCUAAAGGUUAUACUUACAACUAUUUCACAGCCUCACAGACCACUGUGCCUUCGGAACAUUGCUGGUGAGACAAGCCCACCAUUGGAGUGGACAGUCAGGUCAUAGUUUGGACAACAAGACUGCAGAGUCUCAUUUGGCUUCUGUGCAUCUGCAGAAAUUAAUCACAAAUGAGUUUUGAAAUCACGGCAAAGAUGAAGAUGGAUGUUUCCGAUUGUAACUCUUGUCUUUAUAGAGCGUCUGUUGGUUUUUGAAAAAGACUUGUUCAUGGAAGAUGUGUGGACUGCGAGGGGAAGAAGACAGCAGGGAAGAAGAGGGCAAACCUGGCGGGGGAGAGGAGGGCACAGACAGCAUCCCAAGAAACCUUUCUACUUGAAGAAAAUGCUGUGGUCUUAGCAGAAAAUGAAUCACAUACAAACAGAAAUGACAUCGUAAAUCAACUCUCUUUUUCCUAACAUCCAAAGCCACAGGGCUCAUCCGCCCCUGGGUCUAUUCUAAAUCAAGUUCAUGUGGAAUAUUCCACUGGCUUUUUGCGCCAAAGAGCAAGAGCGAAUCUGACAAUAAAUACACAUUGAUCGGGUGAGUGGAAUAUCUGCUACUAAAAGAACUGAGGCAGUCUGAGAAGUCAUAAAUUCUGGAGUAAUGUCACUUACAAUUCUUUGUGUUUCUAUUAAAUAUUAUGCCUGCGUCCUUCGGUCAGUUUCAAUUUAAUGUUGUGGUGAGCAACUGAGUGAACGUUUGUGUUCCCCAUGUGGGUUAUAGGCAUCUGCUGAAUAUCAGGGAACAUAAUCAAGUGAUUUGCCAACAAUCCUAUCAGCAUGUGUCCUGUGCAUUGUUCUGAGCUGAGAACACAACCGGAAGUAUACGGACCAUGCAGUUGGGUCGCCAUGCAUUUGACCUAGAAAGCAUUCGG